UCCGAGUUGACCCCGGCAGUCUCCCAUGAGUCCCCGGCAUAACCCGCUGGCAACAUGGGACAAGGGUUGCGCUCGUUGCGGGACUUAACCCAACAUCUCACGACACGAGCUGACGACAACCAUGCACCACCUGUGCACCGACCUUGCGGGGCCACCAUCUCUGGCGGUUUCCGGUGCAUGUCAAGCCUUGGUAAGGUGGGGAUGACGUAGCUAAGCCUUC
Molecule: unclassified non-coding RNA, 220 nt
Filed under: uncultured Promicromonosporaceae bacterium
Lineage: Bacteria; Bacillati; Actinomycetota; Actinomycetes; Micrococcales; Promicromonosporaceae
Description: contains 16S-23S intergenic spacer region
Source: RNAcentral